AGCAGCCGCGGUAAUUCCAGCUCCAAUAGCGUAUAUUAAAGUUGUUGCAGUUAAAAAGCUCGUAGUUGAAUUUCGGGAUUGACGUGAUGGUCAUGCCUUAAGGGGUAUGAACUGUUACUGUUGAUUUCUCACCUUCUGGAGAAACUUGAUGUCCUUUAUUGGGUGUCUUGCGGAUCCAGGACCUUUACCUUGAAAAAAUUUAGAGUGUUUAAAGCAGGCAUUUUUGCUCGAAUACAUUAGCAUGGAAUAAUAGAAUAGGACGGCAUGGUUCUAUUUUGUUGGUUUCUAGGAUCACCGUAAUGAUUAAUAGGGAUAGUUGGGGGCAUUAGUAUUCAAUUGUCAGAGGUGAAAUUCUUGGAUUAUUGAAGACUAACUACUGCGAAGGCAUUUGCCAAGGAUGUUUUCAUUAAUCAAGAGCGAAAGUUAGGGGAUCGAAGACGAUCAGAUACCGUCGUAGUCUUAACCAUAAACUAUGCCGACUAGGGAUCGGACGAAGUUAAUUUU
This 504-nucleotide ribosomal RNA is filed under the name uncultured Entrophospora. RNAcentral describes it as "SSU rRNA". It matches the Rfam family "Eukaryotic small subunit ribosomal RNA", at positions 569 to 1070 of the family's 1831-position model. Lineage: Eukaryota; Fungi; Glomeromycota; Glomeromycetes; Entrophosporales; Entrophosporaceae. The record is from RNAcentral.